RNAcentral lists this ribosomal RNA (722 nucleotides) under uncultured bacterium. RNAcentral describes it as "bacterial SSU rRNA". It matches the Rfam family "Bacterial small subunit ribosomal RNA", at positions 136 to 851 of the family's 1533-position model. The record is from RNAcentral.
CAGAUGGAUAACCGGGAGAAAUCCCGCCUAAUACAGCAUGACGCUGGGAAGGGACAUCCCUUUCCGGCCAAAGGGGGCGACUCCGGUCACGGAUGGGCAUGCGGCGCAUUAGGUAGUUGGUGGGGCAACGGCCCACCAAGCCGACGAUGCGUAGGGGUUCUGAGAGGAAGGUCCCCCACAUUGGAACUGAGACACGGUCCAAACUCCUACGGGAGGCAGCAGUGAGGAAUAUUGGUCAAUGGCCGGAAGGCUGAACCAGCCAAGUCGCGUGAGGGAAUAAGGCCCUACGGGUCGUAAACCUCUUUUGUCGGGGAGCAAGGCCGCCCACGUGUGGACGGAAGGAGAGUACCUGGAGAAAAAGCAUCGGCUAACUCCGUGCCAGCAGCCGCGGUAAUACGGAGGAUGCGAGCGCUAUCCGGAUUUAUUGGGUUUAAAGGGUGCGUAGGCGGCCUGCCAAGUCAGCGGUAAAAUUGCGGGGCUCAACCCCGUACAGCCGUUGAAACUGCCGGGCUCGAGUGGGCGAGAAGUAUGCGGAAUGCGUGGUGUAGCGGUGAAAUGCAUAGAUAUCACGCAGAACCCCGAUUGCGAAGGCAGCAUACCGGCGCCCUACUGACGCUGAGGCACGAAAGUGCGGGGAUCAAACAGGAUUAGAUACCCUGGUAGUCCGCACAGUAAACGAUGAAUGCUAGCUGUCCGGGGGGAUUGACCCCUGGGUGGCACAG